Non-coding RNA from Podarcis lilfordi (Lilford's wall lizard), 2115 nucleotides. NCBI's taxonomy places the organism in Eukaryota, Metazoa, Chordata, Lepidosauria, Squamata, Lacertidae. The record is from the annotation of a GenBank genome assembly.
CUGCAAUCUCCUGGGUGACGCGGACACCGUUAGACAGUUGAAUGUGCAUGCGGACUCCAUCUGUUUCCCUGCCAACCCCCUUGUCUGCAUGGCCCCGGGCACUGGCAACUCAUGCUACACCACUGGGCCCAACAGACAAUGUUAAACACAAGGCGUCCCAACAAGCUUGAAGGUCAGUGAGAUAUAAGUUUGUGCCCAUCUACUAAAGCCCUAUGCGGCCACAUCUCCUAGGGCCCUCAUACUUACGGGACCACCUCUCCUGGUAUGUCCCGCAGAGGACCUUAAGAUCCAUGAACAAUAAUAGCUUAAAAGUCCCGGGCCCUAAGGAAGCCAGACUAUCCUCCACUAGGGCCAGGGCUUUUUCAGUGACGGCUCCGAACUGGUGGAAUGCUCUGUACCACGAGACUAGGGCCCUGCAAGUCUUGAUCUCCUUCUGCAGGGCAUGUAAGACAGAGCUAUUCCGCCUGGCCUUCAAUUUGAAUAUUCUGAUCCUCUAUUCCCUUUUCCCUUUCCUCUUCUAUGAAGAAACCCUUUCUGGGACCCCACAUUUAAAUUCUUAUUCACACACCUCCUUGCUGGCCCUAGUAGUACCAACUUGGCCUGUUAGCCUGGUGAUUAUUCGAUGUCUACUGACUGGGUCCCCCCCCCCCAAAAAAAAUGACCUCUGAAUUUUUGAAUGUUAUGGAUAUUGAUGCUGCAUUUUAUGUUGUAUUAUAUGAUGUUUUAUGCUGUUUUCAAGUCGCAUUUUAAUCAAUGUUUUAAAUUUGCUGUUAGCUGCCCUGAGCCCGUUUUUUAAACUGGGAAGGGCGGUGUAUAAAUAAAAAUUUAUUAUAUUAUUAUUACAAAAUCUCAGUAGAUUUACUGAAAUACAUGUUGAGCUGCUAUGAUUAAAUGGGCACAAGAUGUUGGACAUAAUAUUAUGUUCGCUGACUGGGAACAGUUAUGGACCACAGGUAUGAAGUUUACGGCAUGUAAUGCCUUAAGAGAGAAUAUUAUGAAAAUGAUAUACAGGUGGUACAUGACCCCAGUCAAGCUUGCAAAAAUCUAUCAUUUGCCCGAUAAUAAAUGUUGGAAAUGUAAAGAAACAGAAGGUACAUUCUUUCACCUUUGGUGGGCGUGCCCAAAGAUUAAGGCUUUCUGGGAAAUGAUAUAUAAUGAACUGAAAAAGGUAUUUAAAUAUACCUUUCUGAAGAAACCAGAGGCCUUUCUCUUGGGCAUUGUCGGCCAACUGGUGCCAAAGAAGGAUAGAACCUUUUCAUGUAUGCUACAACAGCAGCAAGAAUACUCAUCGCAAAGUAUUGGAAGACACAAGAUCUACCCACUUUGGAAGAAUGGCAGAUGAAGGUGAUUGACUACAUGGAACUGGCGGAAAUGACUGGCAGAAUCCGAGACCAGAGAGAAGAGUUGGUGAAAGAAGACUGGAAGAAAUUUAAGGACUAUUUACAGAAAUAUUGCAAAAUUAAGGAACUUUAGAAGGAUGUUGGAUAGAAACUAAGAGGUUUUUAGCUGUAAUGCUUUAGGAGAUAUGGAAAAAUAGGUUAAUAAUUGGGUAAAGAUUAAUGGUAAGGAUUUGCUGAACCAACAAAUUGAACUGGAAUACAAAGAAGGGAGGUAUGAGGAGGUCCGGGAAAUAAGAGUAAGGAAGAUAGGUUAUGGAACAUUAUUGUGUUUUUAACUGUCUUAUUUUGUAUGUUUUGUGGGUUUUUUUUAUUUUCUACUUUUUGGUUGUAUCUUUAAAAACUUUAUUCUUUUUCUUUCUGUAUUCUGUAUUUUCAUGUAUUUUUGUGAAACUUUAAUAAAUAUCAUUAUAAGAAAAAAAAAGAAAUACAUGUUGAGCUACUGAUUAUCUGGAAAAUACCUUUGAAAAUGAGUCAUAGCUACUGGUAUUUGGCCUUACAUUUUUAUUUAUUUUUAAAUCCACAAAAAAAUCAGAGUGAACUCUGCCCAAAGUCGCUCCUUCAGCUGGUUGACUCAGUGGAGUCAAAGCAGAGGCAAAAUCAGGUUGGCAGUUGUGUUCGACAUGCACUGCAAUCAACAGGGGAAUCGGCUCUGUUCCCUCUGCCAAAGGAUUUUAUAUUGUCUGCAGGAGUCAUUCCUAAACUUUUUGCAACGGUG